GAUUGCGGAUUGGCUGAAGGGUUAAAUUAUUUAGCAGGAUGAUAUUCACGUCCAUCCAUCGCAGGGGAAUGAAGUUAGAGAAAGACGGAUACCUUAAAGAUACCCGAGAUGAGAGUUAAAACAAUGCUGUUGACCACUUGUGACCAGUAAACACCCUCUGUAUUUACAUCUCUUUUGGAAACUCACCUCUUCUGCAAUCCACACAACGGGUAUCAUCAGCAAUUCAUUGUUCUUGCUGAUAACGUGACAAGCAGAAUCCUUACUAGCUGGCCUUUCAUGUUCUGUCAGAUUUUUCCUGAAUACUGCCGUCUUUCAAUGGAGAGCUGAUGGAGCAUUUUGUCUCUGAUUUUCUUGCCUCUCAAGCUAUA
RNAcentral lists this long non-coding RNA (368 nucleotides) under Chrysemys picta bellii (western painted turtle). RNAcentral's name for it is "lncRNA (ENSCPBG00000006483.1)". The record is from RNAcentral. Lineage: Eukaryota; Metazoa; Chordata; Testudines; Emydidae.